GACGAACGCUGGCGGCGUGCCUAAUACAUGCAAGUUGAGCGAUGAAGCUUGGUGCUUGCACCAAUUUGAAGAGCAGCGAACGGGUGAGUAACGCGUGGGGAAUCUGCCUUUGAGCGGGGGACAACAUUUAGAAACGAAUGCUAAUACCGCAUAACAACUUUAAACAUAAGUUUUAAGUUUGAAAGAUGCAAUUGCAUCACUCAAAGAUGAUCCCGCGUUGUAUUAGCUAGUUGGUGAGGUAAAGGCUCACCAAGGCGAUGAUACAUAGCCGACCUGAGAGGGUGAUCGGCCACAUUGGGACUGAGACACGGCCCAAACUCCUACGGGAGGCAGCAGUAGGGAAUCUUCGGCAAUGGACGAAAGUCUGACCGAGCAACGCCGCGUGAGUGAAGAAGGGUUUCGGAUCGUAAAACUCUGUUGGUAGAGAAGAACGUUGGUGAGAGUGGAAAGCUCAUCAAGUGACGGUAACUACCCAGAAAGGGACGGCUAACUACGUG
RNAcentral lists this ribosomal RNA (497 nucleotides) under uncultured bacterium. RNAcentral describes it as "partial 16S ribosomal RNA". It matches the Rfam family "Bacterial small subunit ribosomal RNA", at positions 28 to 507 of the family's 1533-position model. The record is from RNAcentral.